Molecule: small nucleolar RNA, 107 nt
Filed under: Theobroma cacao (cacao)
Lineage: Eukaryota; Viridiplantae; Streptophyta; Magnoliopsida; Malvales; Malvaceae
Description: Plant small nucleolar RNA R71
Rfam family: Plant small nucleolar RNA R71
About the family: R71 is a member of the C/D box family of snoRNAs containing the C (UGAUGA) and D (CUGA) box motifs. Multiple nearly identical copies of this snoRNA have been identified in Arabidopsis, and it is thought to function as a 2'-O-ribose methylation guide for 18S ribosomal RNA.
Source: Rfam by way of RNAcentral
AGACCAUGAUGAGGACAAGACCAAAAGUAAUUCUUUAUAUCUUUCCCAAGCCUCAUACAAUUAUUUAGAAUCUUAUUGCAUGAAUGAUGUAAUAUCAUUUUUGCUGU